This 254-nucleotide ribosomal RNA is filed under the name uncultured bacterium. RNAcentral's name for it is "partial 16S ribosomal RNA". It matches the Rfam family "Bacterial small subunit ribosomal RNA", at positions 524 to 776 of the family's 1533-position model. The record is from RNAcentral.
UACAGAGGGUGCAAGCGUUAAUCGGAAUUACUGGGCGUAAAGCGUGCGUAGGUGGCUUGACAAGUCGGGUGUGAAAUCCCCGGGCUUAACCCGGGAACUGCAUUCGAUACUAUCGAGCUUGGAGUCUGGUAGAGGGUAGUGGAAUUCCGGGUGUAGCAGUGAAAUGCGUAGAUAUCCGGAGGAACACCAGUGGCGAAGGCGGCUACCUGGACCAAGACUGACGCUGAGGCACGAAAGCGUGGGGAGCAAACAGG